UAGCCUAGUGGUUAAGGCUAUGGAUUGUAAAUCCGGAGACGGCGGGUUUGAUUCCAGU
Non-coding RNA from Aedes albopictus (Asian tiger mosquito), 58 nucleotides. Lineage: Eukaryota; Metazoa; Arthropoda; Insecta; Diptera; Culicidae. The record is from Rfam.